Molecule: long non-coding RNA, 2063 nt
Filed under: Homo sapiens (human)
Lineage: Eukaryota; Metazoa; Chordata; Mammalia; Primates; Hominidae
Description: HSALNT0302420
Source: RNAcentral
GGGACCUGAAGAUAUAUUUUAAAAGAAUGCGAAAUGCAGUAUUUGCUUAUAAGAAAAUAAAGUCGGCCAGUCGCAGUGGCUCACGCCUGUAAUCCCAGCACUUUGGGAGGCCUAGGCCAGCGGAUCACCUGAGAUCGGGAGUUCGAGACCAGCCUGACCAACAUGGAGAAACCCCAUUUCAACUAAAAAUACAAAAUUAGCUAGGGGUGGUGGCGCAUGCUUGUAAUCCCAGCUACUCAGGGGGCUGAGGCAGGAGAAUUGCCUCAACCCUGGAGGCAGAGGUUGUGGUGAGCCGAGAUCGUGCCAUUGCACUCCAGCCUGGGCAACAAGAGCGAAACUCCAUCUCAAAAAUAAAUAAAUAAAAAUAAGAAAUAAAGUCAAUGGUAGUUUACACUUUCUCAAAGUGACAUAAUCAGUGGUGGAAUUAUAUAUUGUAUCUAGCUAUUUCCUGAACAAUCUAUCACCUUUGAAUAAACCCUGCCUGGGCCUUUUUGGUCCUGGCUGCCCUGUUUCUGCUAUACUGCAUUCUCACCGGCCCCAGUUUAUUGGAUCAGAGGUGGAUAUCUGACCAAGGAGAAACAAGCUAUUUCAGCCAAUCAGACUCUCUGACUCAAUAUUUUAGUACCUGAACUGCAUUAAUGAUGCAGCACUGGACUCUUUGUACUGACAGUCCAGAACUGUAUUGAUUCUUGUCUUUCCUGAGAUUAUUCCAUUUCCUUUUCCUUGUAGACCAUGGGGUGAUAUUUUUAUAAUGCUCCUUUUAAAGUAAUUUAUUAUUUAAAGACACAUAUACAGAUGGUAAAAUCUAUAAAGAAUAACGAGAAUAAUUAUCUCAAAGAGCAGCAUAAUGGUUGCCUCUGAAGGAGAGGGAGGGAGAUAUUUUCAGACAGGGGCAAAUAUGGACUUUUUUUUUUUUUUUUUUUUGGACAAGAGACUCGCUGUGUCGCCCGGGCUGGAGUGCAGUGGUGCGAUCUCAGCUCACUGCAAGCUCCGCCUCCCAGGUUCACGCCAUUCUCCUGCCUCAGCCUUCCGAGUAGCUGGGACUACAGGAGCCCAUCACCACGCCAAAUAAGGGCCUUUUAAGGUACAGCUGUGCUGUAUUCAUUACCUGAUGGUGGUUACUCUAGAGUUACUUUUAAUAUUCGUACAUGUAUAUUUCAUAUACUCUUGUUCCAUAAGACGCAAUUUCUCAAAGAUUUUUAACUUGAGCUAAUUUAGUGGGUUUCUAUUCCUUUCAAGCAAACAUAUUUCAAGACCCAUUAUUAUUUCAAGACCUAUCAUUAUUAAAGAUAAUUUAGUAGUAGUGGUAUUCAUUCAAAUAAAUAAAGUGUGUGUGUGUGUCUGUGUGUGUUUAAAGCAUGCUAUUCAAAUCUCACUGAACUCUAGGAUUAGAAUAAACCUUAGGAAUGUUCUAGCUUGUUCAAGGUCUAACAAAAGAAAAGAAAAUUGAGAGCCAACUCAGAAUCCUGAGAUUUUUCUACCAAGCUACAUCACUUUCCUAAUACAAGAGACAGCAAUCAUAUCAGCAAGAAAUGCAUAUUUCAAAGAUUAAAUUAUUUUUAAUGCUUAUUUUAUUCUUAGAAAACUUAACUGCUGGCCGGGCGUGGUGGCUCAUGCCUAUAAUCCCAGCACUUUGGGAGGCCGAGGCGGGUGGAUCACAAGGUCAAGAGAUCGAGACCAUCUUGGCCAACCUGGUGAAACCCCGUCUCUACUAAAAAUACAAAAAAAAAAAAAAAAAAAAAAAAAAUUAGCCAGGCAUGGUGGCAGGUGCCUGUAAUCCCAGCUACUUGGGAGGCUGAGGCAGAAGAAUCACUUGAACCCAGGAGGCAGAGGUUGCAGUGAGCCGAGAUCAUGCCAUUGCACUCCAGCCUGGGCAAAAAGAGCAAAACUCUGUCUCAAAAACACAAAAACAAAAACAGAAAACUUAACUGCCUCAGUACUGAAAAUAAAUUAUCUUAUGUAAUAUAACAUCUAUACAUAAGCAACAUUUUAUAUCAUGAUUGCUGGAUAUCAAGAACAUCCAGAAAAGAAAUUACUGCAAUUUAAAAUGGAAUUUUACUGAC